This 642-nucleotide long non-coding RNA is filed under the name Physcomitrium patens. RNAcentral describes it as "long non-coding RNA (PPAT_LNC012215)". Lineage: Eukaryota; Viridiplantae; Streptophyta; Bryopsida; Funariales; Funariaceae. The record is from RNAcentral.
AGAGUAGGGUUGGGCUAAAAAAUCCUUAGGAUAGAUUAGAUUGAUAACCAAGGGUUGGCCAUUUGUGAGAUAGGGUCGAAAUCAGACCUCUGGCCACAAAAACGAUGGCCUAGGGCAAAAAAUGGAUUUAUUUGAAAAUCGAAGGAUAAGAUUUGAGAGCUAGCUUGAAGUUCUUUCCAAAAGCAUAAGGAAUUUUUUUGAAAGAUUUUUGAGGACUUAGCAAUUAUUAUUCAAAGUCAGGGUUUGUAUCAGUGAUUUGGAUUUUAUAUAAUAUAAUUAGGGCUAGCAAUUUUGGUUAGUUUGUACAAUUGGUGUAACAUCUACGGUUGAGAAUUUGAUAUUAUUUGGAUUAUUGGGUGUGCUAAGUGUACACAAAAUUAUGUGAUAAUCUAACGGUGUGGUUUAGAAAUAUCUAGUUUUUAGCACAAGAGGAUUUCAAAAGGUGGCAGUUUGAGGUUGGGUAGGGUUUCUAUGAUGUCUAAAGUUCUAUUAGCCGAAUUAAGAUGAAAAUUGGCAUUGUAUUGAAGGACUUGAAGAUCAAACUACAUACCAAUUUUGAGACAAAGUUAAUGGUUGAAAAGAAAGAAAUCACUAUUAGAUUUCUACUUUACUUUUCAAGUUGGCGGCCAAGUGACAUCAAUG